RNAcentral lists this ribosomal RNA (500 nucleotides) under uncultured bacterium. RNAcentral's name for it is "bacterial SSU rRNA". It matches the Rfam family "Bacterial small subunit ribosomal RNA", at positions 47 to 558 of the family's 1533-position model. The record is from RNAcentral.
CCUAACACAUGCAAGUCGAACGGAGCUGAGAGGAGCUUGCUUUUCUCAGCUUAGUGGCGAACGGGUGAGUAACGCGUGAGUAACCUGCCCUGGAGUGGGGGACAACAGUUGGAAACGACUGCUAAUACCGCAUAAGCCCACGAUCCGGCAUCGGAUUGAGGGAAAAGGAUUUAUUCGCUUCAGGAUGGACUCGCGUCCAAUUAGCUAGUUGGUGAGGUAACGGCCCACCAAGGCGACGAUUGGUAGCCGGACUGAGAGGUUGAACGGCCACAUUGGGACUGAGACACGGCCCAGACUCCUACGGGAGGCAGCAGUGGGGGAUAUUGCACAAUGGGGGAAACCCUGAUGCAGCGACGCCGCGUGGAGGAAGAAGGUUUUCGGAUUGUAAACUCCUGUCGUUAGGGACGAUAAUGACGGUACCUAACAAGAAAGCACCGGCUAACUACGUGCCAGCAGCCGCGGUAAAACGUAGGGUGCAAGCGUUGUCCGGAAUUACUGGG